Molecule: ribosomal RNA, 719 nt
Filed under: uncultured bacterium
Lineage: Bacteria
Description: bacterial SSU rRNA
Rfam family: Bacterial small subunit ribosomal RNA
Source: RNAcentral
GGCGCACGGGUGAGUAACACGUAGGUAAUCUGCCUUCGAGUGGUGGAUAACUCUCCGAAAGGGGAGCUAAUACAGCAUAAGACCACGAUUCUCCGGAGUCGCGGUCAAAGCGGGCCUCUCCAUGGAAGCUCGUGCUUGAAGAUGAGCCUGCGGCCCAUCAGCUAGUUGGCGGUGUAAUAGACCACCAAGGCUAAGACGGGUAGCUGGUCUGAGAGGAUGAACAGCCACACUGGAACUGAGACACGGUCCAGACUCCUACGGGAGGCAGCAGUGGGGAAUCUUGCGCAAUGGGGGAAACCCUGACGCAGCGACGCCGCGUGAGCGAUGAAGGCCUUCGGGUUGUAAAGCUCUGUGGAGAGGGACGAAUAAGUGCAAGCUAACAUUUUGCAUGAUGACGGUACCUCUUUAGCAAGCACCGGCUAACUCUGUGCCAGCAGCCGCGGUAAGACAGAGGGUGCAAACGUUGUUCGGAAUUACUGGGCGUAAAGCGCGUGUAGGCGGCAACACAAGUCGGAUGUGAAAUCCCGCGGCUUAACCGUGGAAGUGCACCCGAAACUGUGUCGCUAGAGUCCCGGAGAGGAUGGUGGAAUACUUGGUGUAGAGGUGAAAUUCGUAGAUAUCAAGUGGAACACCGGUGGCGAAGGCGGCCAUCUGGACGGUGACUGACGCUGAGACGCGAAAGCGUGGGUAGCAAACAGGAUUAGAUACCCUGGUAGUCC